AAAAUCAGUUAACCAACUGGAAAUCACAUAUGGAAUCAAUUGUAGCCUCUGUACAACAUGAUUUGCCCCCUCCAACAAAUCAAGCUGAAUUUGAAAUGCCUUCAACAUCUGAACAUGCAGAAGACGUCGAAAGAUCAACAAAAGAAAAAAAAGGUAAGCAAAAAGAGACACAAUCUCCAUCACCAACGGCAACGAAUACUUUAGAAGAUUAUAACAUCGACAAAUACAAAAACAUUAGAGAAUGGAUAUCAGAAAAUCCAUCAGAGUAAGAUAUUAAAUUUAACUUCGUUAACUUAAAUAUUCUAUUUCGUAUUUUACUUAUUUAAUAACAAUUUCAUUUUUUCUUAUAUAGUGCAUACUGGAAAGAUGAAAUCGGCAAUCAAUACGCAAGACAUUCGCUGAUAAAUAUAAUAAAUCAAAUUAAAGAUAUAAAUAUUGUGGUAAGUCAACUUUAGCAAUCUUAAUUAAUUUUACUUCGUUAUUAAUAUAGCUAAUUUAAAUUUUUUUUACUAGCAUAUUGAUAUAGAAUUAAAGCUGUUGCGAAGACUCAUUCAUGAUACAUCUUCCCCGGUUUCCAAAGAAUAUGCAAUCAUGGACUUUCGAUUCGAGAAUGAAUGUGUUCAUUGGUACACAACGAUCAAACAAGGAUCGACCGCUUCUGUGAAUAAUUUCCAGGCAUUAGAGCAAUACACAAAAGGAGAAUUACCUACAUUUGCUCGACCCUGGAUAACAUACAACUAUUUAUUAAUUCCAGUCGCAUAUCCAGGCAACAGUUGGUUUAUUUUUCUUGUUGAUUUUAAAAAGUGGAAAUUUCAAGUAUAUGAUUGCAGCCACAACAUUCAUACACCAGAUGCAAUCAAGUUACGUGCAGCCCCAGUUUUGGAUGUAGUACAAUCAUUAUUAAUAGCUACUGACAUUUUCUUCGCGAAGCCAAAUUUACGAAAACAUAGAAAUAAACGUAUGAAAUUGGAAAUCAUACCGUAUCUACCUUGUCAAAAUAAUGGGUAAGUAUCUCAACAAUUUACUUUAAUAUUUAUUUUUCUAUUCAAUUUUAUUUUACAUUUAUAGCAUUACUAUAAAAUAACUUCAAACUAUUUUUUCUGUAGGCCAAACUCUGGAGUUCUUCUUCUCAAAUACAUUGAAUGCUUCAUUUUCGGAUAUCCAUUAGAAGCAGUUUCAACUGAGAAAAUACGUUUAUACAGACGAAAACUUGUCACAGAUAUAUGUCAAAAUGAAUAUUUUUUCCGUCCAUAACCAUAACAAAGAAGGUAACUUUUUUUUUUUUUUUUUAUAAUGUCCCCAUCAUGUAAAGCAAAAGAUAUAAUAAGGUAAAAGCAUUGCCAAAAUAAAUAUCUAUAUUAAUUAACUAAUUCAAUCUCAAUUUUUUCUACAUAUACUUUAGUCUUGUUUCUUUCUACUUCUGCUAAUAGCUUUUCUCUUGCUUUAAUAGGUAUGCCUUAUCAUAAUUGAUGUUGAAACCAAGAAGAAAAAGCUUUUCAUCACCGAUCAUGUAAUGUAAGUAUCAUGUAUUCAAAUAUCAAGUAUAUCAAGAAUUGCCGUUUUAACAAUUUCUUAUCAAUGUUUCAUUUUCUUCCUUUUG
This 1600-nucleotide long non-coding RNA is filed under the name Olea europaea subsp. europaea. Lineage: Eukaryota; Viridiplantae; Streptophyta; Magnoliopsida; Lamiales; Oleaceae. The record is from RNAcentral.